UUGUCUCAGACUAGCCAUGCACGUCUAGUACAAACUAAAUGAUGGUGAAACUGCAAAUGGCUCAUUACAACGGUUAUGAUGUACCCGGGAGUUCCGAUGGAUAUUUCCAGUAACACUAGAACUAAUACAUGUCCCUGCGUUUAUUAGUUUCGCACAGUCCGUCGCUGAGUCAUGGUAAACAGUUGAUCGACUCGACGUCCCGGAACAGUUUCCGCCCCAUCAGCUUCGAUGGUUGGGUAUUGGCCUACCAUUGCAACAACGGGUAACGAGGAAUUAGGGUUUGAUUUCGGAGAGGGAGCCUGAGAAACGGCUACCACAUCUACGGAUGGCAGCAGGCGCGCAAAUUACCCAAUGCAGACACUGUGAGGUAGUGACGAGAAAUAAUAAAGCGGGACUUCUGUUUCGCUAUUAUAAUGAGGAAUAACCAAAGGUCAUUCCGAUUAGCAACUGAUGGGAAAGUCUGGUGCCAGCAGCCGCGGUAAUACCAGCGUCAGUAGCAU
This 500-nucleotide ribosomal RNA is filed under the name uncultured Myrionecta. RNAcentral describes it as "SSU rRNA". It matches the Rfam family "Eukaryotic small subunit ribosomal RNA", at positions 34 to 600 of the family's 1831-position model. The record is from RNAcentral. Lineage: Eukaryota; Ciliophora; Litostomatea; Cyclotrichida; Mesodiniidae.